UCAAGGAGCUCCUUACACUGCCAUGCUGGAAGUUGGUCUCUAAUUUACUCACUGUUAAUAUUAUGCAUAUUGUUUGUCUUAGGGAAAAUAAGUCUUAUGUCUCUAUAUAGAAAAUUGUUUACUUCCGGGGGAAAUGUGUUAGAGAAAUGUGGCUAUAAAAUAAAUGUAAUUUUCCAUUGACUUCAUUUUCACAUAAGAGACUUAUUCCUGGGGCGGGAGAGAGGAGAAAUCCUGUAAUGGCCUGAAUUGAAGGCUACGGAAGACAUGAGGAAGCUGAAAACUUGUUACACCGUGCCCGGCCUCAGUGCACUUUUAAAUGUUUCACUCAACUAAUGAUUUCACAUCCUAUUCAUCUGAAA
Molecule: long non-coding RNA, 359 nt
Filed under: Homo sapiens (human)
Lineage: Eukaryota; Metazoa; Chordata; Mammalia; Primates; Hominidae
Description: non-protein coding lnc-C6orf118-10:2
Source: RNAcentral